RNAcentral lists this ribosomal RNA (136 nucleotides) under uncultured eukaryote. RNAcentral's name for it is "partial 18S ribosomal RNA". It matches the Rfam family "Eukaryotic small subunit ribosomal RNA", at positions 1299 to 1458 of the family's 1831-position model. The record is from RNAcentral.
UGGUGGAGUGAUUUGUCUGGUUAAUUCCGUUAACGAACGAGACCUUAGCCUACUAACUAGUCGCCUCGUUGCUAAGCGGGCGCGACUUCUUAGAGGGACUUUGUGACUAAACACAAGGAAGUUUGAGGCAAUAACA